AUUAAACGCUGGCGGCAUGCCUUACACAUGCAAGUCGAACGGUAGCGCGGGGCAACCUGGCGACGAGUGGCGAACGGGUGAGUAAAGCAUCGGAACGUGCCCUGGAAUGGGGGAUAACGUAGCGAAAGUUACGCUAAUAUCGCAUAUUCUGUGAGCAGGAAAGCAGGGGAUCGCAAGACCUUGCGUUCUGGGAGCGGCCGAUGUCGGAUUAGCUAGUUGGUGGGUAAAAGCCUACCAAGGCGACGAUCCGUAGCGGGUCUGAGAGGAUGAUCCGCCACACUGGGACUGAGACACGGCCCAGACUCCUACGGGAGGCAGCAGUGGGGAAUUUUGGACAAUGGGCGGAAGCCUGAUCCAGCCAUGCCGCGUGAGUGAAGAAGGCCU
Molecule: ribosomal RNA, 384 nt
Filed under: uncultured bacterium
Lineage: Bacteria
Description: bacterial SSU rRNA
Rfam family: Bacterial small subunit ribosomal RNA
Source: RNAcentral